GAUGAACGCUGGCGGCGUGCCUAAUACAUGCAAGUCGAGCGAACGGACGAGAAGCUUGCUUCUCUGAUGUUAGCGGCGGACGGGUGAGUAACACGUGGAUAACCUACCUAUAAGACUGGGAUAACUUCGGGAAACCGUAGCUAAUACCGGAUAAUAUUUUGAACCGCAUGGUUCAAAAGUGAAAGACGGUCUUGCUGUCACUUAUAGAUGGAUCCGCGCUGCAUUAGCUAGUUGGUAAGGUAACGGCUUACCAAGGCAACGAUGCAUAGCCGACCUGAGAGGGUGAUCGGCCACACUGGAACUGAGACACGGUCCAGGCUCCUACGGGAGGCAGCGGUAGGGAAUCUUCCGCAAUGGGCGAAAGCCUGACGGAGCAACGCCGCGUGAGUGAUGAAGGUCUUCGGAUCGUAAAACUCUGUUAUUAGGGAAGAACAUAUGUGUAAGUAACUGUGCACAUCUUGACGGUACCUAAUCAGAAAGCCACGGCUAACUACGU
This 496-nucleotide ribosomal RNA is filed under the name uncultured bacterium. RNAcentral describes it as "partial 16S ribosomal RNA". It matches the Rfam family "Bacterial small subunit ribosomal RNA", at positions 28 to 506 of the family's 1533-position model. The record is from RNAcentral.